GCUUAUGUUUUCUGUAUCUUGACAGGUUCAGCUACACAAUAAGGUGGAGCAGGAAGUUGUGGAUGUGUGCCUUGGCUUGCAGCAUCUCCAUGGCUCUGUUCAUUCAGUACAGAGUCCAGACCAUAGGUGUCCUGCCUCCCUCAAGAUUCAUCAGGAAGGCUUUACUGCAUACCCAGAGGAGGAUGAAUCCUGUUGCAGAGUAUUAUCUCUGGAGCAGCCCAGCAGAUACUGCAGCAUGGAGCACAGCAGCAUCAGCCUUCACAACCCUCUGCACAACAAUCAGCCGAGACUUUCUCCACUGGUUUGUGGAAUCAGCCUGGUCAGUGGUACCAAUGAGGUCCAGUCUGUCUCUGACAAACAGAGCUCCUUCCCAAACCCACAUCAAAAACUCAACCAGAUGUUUCAUGAAGUACCAAUAAAUCACCACGGUAAGAAAGCUAUUUUGUAUUACCUUCAUUAAUGUUAAAAAA
RNAcentral lists this long non-coding RNA (470 nucleotides) under Sinocyclocheilus grahami. RNAcentral describes it as "lncRNA (ENSSGRG00000018500.1)". Lineage: Eukaryota; Metazoa; Chordata; Actinopteri; Cypriniformes; Cyprinidae. The record is from RNAcentral.